UUUAUGGAGAGUUUGAUUCUGGCUCAGGAUGAACGCUGGCGGCGUGCUUAACACAUGCAAGUCGAACGAUGAAGCUGGAGCUUGCUCUGGUGGAUUAGUGGCGAACGGGUGAGUAACACGUGAGUAACCUGCCCUUCACUCUGGGAUAACAUCGAGAAAUCGAUGCUAAUACCGGAUACAUUCCGUAGGAGGCAUCUCCUAUGGAAGAAAGAACUUCGGUGAAGGAUGGACUCGCGGCUUAUCAGCUAGUAGGUGGGGUAAAGGCUCACCUAGGCUAUGACGAGUAUCCGGCCUGAGAGGGCGAACGGACACAUUGGGACUGAGAUACGGCCCAGACUCCUACGGGAGGCAGCAGUGGGGAAUAUUGCACAAUGGGCGCAAGCCUGAUGCAGCGACGCCGCGUGAAGGAUGACGGUCUUCGGAUUGUAAACUUCUGUCGUUAGGGAAGAAGCGAAAGUGACGGUACCUAACAAGAAAGGACCGGCUAACUACGUGCCAGCAGCCGCGGUAAUACGUAGGGUUCAAGCGUUAUCCGGAAUUAUUGGGCGUAAAGAGCUCGUAGGUGGCGUGUCGCGUCUGGUGUGAAAACUCCUGGCUUAACCAGGAGCCUGCAUCGGGUACGGGCAUGCUAGAGUAUGGUAGGGGAAACUGGAAUUCCUGGUGUAGCGGUGGAAUGCGCAGAUAUCAGGAAGAACACCAAUGGCGAAGGCAGGUUUCUGGGCCAUUACUGACGCUGAGGAGCGAAAGCGUGGGGAGCGAACAGGAUUAGAUACCCUGGUAGUCCACGCCGUAAACGUUGGGCACUAGAUGUGGGGACCUUCCACGGUUUCCGUAUCGCAGCUAACGCAUUAAGUGCCCCGCCUGGGGAGUACGGUCGCAAGGCUAAAACUCAAAGAAAUUGACGGGGAUCCGCACAAGCAGCGGAGCAUGCGGAUUAAUUCGAUGCAACGCGAAGAACCUUACCAAGGCUUGACAUAUACGGGAAAGUUUCCAGAGAUGGAGACCCUCUUCGGACUCGUAUACAGGUGGUGCAUGGUUGUCGUCAGCUCGUGUUGUGAAAUGUUGGGUUAAGUCCCGCAACGAGCGCAACCCUUGUCCUGUGUUACCAUCAUUCAGUUGGGGACUCACAGGAGACUGCCGGGGUCAACUCGGAGGAAGGUGGGGAUGACGUCAAAUCAUCAUGCCCCUUAUGUCUUGGGCUUCACGCAUGCUACAAUGGCUGGUACAGAGCGCUGCAAUACCGCAAGGUGGAGCUAAUCGCAAAAAGCCAGUCUCAGUUCGGAUUGGGGUCUGCAACUCGACCCCAUGAAGUCGGAGUUGCUAGUAAUCGUAGAUCAGCAACGCUACGGUGAAUACGUUCUCGGAUCUUGUACACACCGCCCGUCAAGUCAUGAAAGUCGGUAACACCCGAUGCCGGUGGUCCAACCAUUUUGGAGGGAGCCGUCUAAGGUGGGAUUGGCGAUUAGGACUAAGUCGUAACAAGGUAGCCGUAUCGGAAGGUGCGGCUGGAUCACCUCCUUU
This 1521-nucleotide ribosomal RNA is filed under the name Candidatus Ancillula sp. RNAcentral describes it as "bacterial SSU rRNA". It matches the Rfam family "Bacterial small subunit ribosomal RNA". Lineage: Bacteria; Bacillati; Actinomycetota; Actinomycetes; Bifidobacteriales; Bifidobacteriaceae. The record is from RNAcentral. RNAcentral also lists the same sequence under 1 other name.